UGGGGAAUAUUGCGCAAUGGGCGAAAGCCUGACGCAGCAACGCCGCGUGAGUGAGGAAGGCCUUCGGGUUGUAAAGCUCUGUCUUCUUGGACGAAACCUAAUUGGUUAAUAGCCAAUUAGAUGACGGUACAAGAGGAGGAAGCCCCGGCUAACUACGUGCCAGCAGCCGCGGUAAAACGUAGGGGGCGAGCGUUGUCCGGAAUUAUUGGGCGUAAAGCGCGUGUAGGCGGAAGCUUAAGUCAGGUGUGAAAACUCGGGGCUUAACCCCGAGCCGGCAUCUGAAACUGGGUUUCUUGAGGACGGGAGAGGAAAGCGGAAUUCCUAGUGUAGCGGUGAAAUGCGUAGAUAUUAGGAGGAACACCAGUGGCGAAGGCGGCUUUCUGGACCGUAACUGACGCUGAGACGCGAAAGCGUGGGGAGCAAACAGG
This 428-nucleotide ribosomal RNA is filed under the name uncultured bacterium. Its description in RNAcentral is "bacterial SSU rRNA". It matches the Rfam family "Bacterial small subunit ribosomal RNA", at positions 355 to 776 of the family's 1533-position model. The record is from RNAcentral.